ACAGCAGCAGCCACGGGAAUACGUAGGUGGCAAGCGUUGUCCGGAAUUAUUGGGCGUAAAGCGCGUGCAGGUGGUUUAAUAAGUCUGAUGUGAGAGCCCACGGCUCAACCGUGGAGGGUCAUUGGAAACUGUUAAACUUGAGUGCAGGAGAGAAAAGUGGAAUUCCUAGUGUAGCGGUGAAAUGCGUAGAGAUUAGGAGGAACACCAGUGGCGAAGGCGGCUUUUUGGCCUGUAACUGACACUGAGGCGCGAAAGCGUGGGGAGCAAACGGGAUUAGAUACCCCUGUAGUCCCUGUCUCUUAUAU
Molecule: ribosomal RNA, 305 nt
Filed under: uncultured bacterium
Lineage: Bacteria
Description: partial 16S ribosomal RNA
Rfam family: Bacterial small subunit ribosomal RNA
Source: RNAcentral